Molecule: long non-coding RNA, 227 nt
Filed under: Lathyrus oleraceus (garden pea)
Lineage: Eukaryota; Viridiplantae; Streptophyta; Magnoliopsida; Fabales; Fabaceae
Description: Pisum sativum (pea) long non-coding RNA (PSAT_LNC000161)
Source: RNAcentral
AGGAAAGGAGCAUCUUGAAUCAUCUUUAUGAUCUCGAGAAAAGGAACUCCAAGGGUUUUAUCUCUUCUCUCAUCUUUGCGUGCUUUAGGAAUAGCCCUUCUCUUCUUCUCCCCACUCUAACCAAGCCAAAUUCAUUUUAUGCAAACAUUGACAUUGUUUCCAAAUUAGAAACCUAGGCCUUAUGCAUUUGACUUUUCAAAAUCUUUUCAUCAAUACUCAUUGUGAAU